GUUGUUGUAAAACAUAAUAGGAAC
Molecule: small nuclear RNA, 24 nt
Filed under: Arabidopsis thaliana (thale cress)
Lineage: Eukaryota; Viridiplantae; Streptophyta; Magnoliopsida; Brassicales; Brassicaceae
Description: snRNA_10081
Source: RNAcentral